RNAcentral lists this ribosomal RNA (293 nucleotides) under uncultured bacterium. Its description in RNAcentral is "partial 16S ribosomal RNA". It matches the Rfam family "Archaeal small subunit ribosomal RNA", at positions 455 to 747 of the family's 1478-position model. The record is from RNAcentral.
GUGCCAGCAGCCGCGGUAAUACCGGCAGCCCAAGUGAUGGCCACUCUUAUUGGGCCUAAAGCGUCCGUAGCCGGCCUUGCAAGUCCGUCGGGAAAUCCAGUAGCCCAACUACUGGGCGUCCGGCGGAAACUCCGAGGCUUGGGACCGGAAGGCUCGAGGGGUACGUUCGGGGUAGGAGUGAAAUCCCAUAAUCCCGCACGGACCACCGAUGGCGAAAGCACUUCGAGAAAACGGAUCCGACAGUGAGGGACGAAAGCCAGGGUCUCCAACCGGAUUAGAAACCCUUGUAGUCC